RNAcentral lists this transfer RNA (75 nucleotides) under Parasedimentitalea marina. RNAcentral describes it as "Sedimentitalea sp. W43 tRNA-Met". It matches the Rfam family "tRNA". Rfam says of the family: Transfer RNA (tRNA) molecules are approximately 80 nucleotides in length. The record is from RNAcentral. Lineage: Bacteria; Pseudomonadati; Pseudomonadota; Alphaproteobacteria; Rhodobacterales; Paracoccaceae.
AGCGGAGUAGAGCAGCGGUAGCUCGCCAGCCUCAUAAGCUGGAGGUCGCGGGUUCAAAUCCCGCCUCCGCAACCA